Non-coding RNA from Brassica napus (rape), 125 nucleotides. Lineage: Eukaryota; Viridiplantae; Streptophyta; Magnoliopsida; Brassicales; Brassicaceae. The record is from Rfam.
GGAAGUUAAAAAACUGUUUCUUAACUUUUAAUUAAAAAAACUAAGAACCGGUUCUUAAAUAAAGACUUUAAGAACUGGUUCUUAGCUUUUUUAGUUAAAAGUUAAAAAACAGUUUCUUAACUUCC